Molecule: ribosomal RNA, 257 nt
Filed under: uncultured bacterium
Lineage: Bacteria
Description: partial 16S ribosomal RNA
Rfam family: Bacterial small subunit ribosomal RNA
Source: RNAcentral
UACGGGGGGAGCAAGCGUUGUUCGGAUUUACUGGGCGUAAAGGGCGCGUAGGCGGUCGUGACAAGUCACUUGUGAAAUCUCCGGGCUUAACUCGGAACGGUCAAGUGAUACUGUCGGACUAGAGUACAGAAGGGGCAACUGGAAUUCUCGGUGUAGCGGUGAAAUGCGUAGAUAUCGAGAGGAACACCAGUGGCGAAGGCGAGUCCCUGGACGAACACCUGACACUGGAGGCAACGAAAGCUAGGGGAGCAAACAGG